GCCUGAUCCAGCAAUGCCGCGUGUGUGAAGAAGGCCUUCGGGUUGUAAAGCACUUUUGUCCGGAAAGAAAUCCUUGGCUCUAAUACAGUCGGGGGAUGACGGUACCGGAAGAAUAAGCACCGGCUAACUACGUGCCAGCAGCCGCGGUAAUACGUAGGGUGCGAGCGUUAAUCGGAAUUACUGGGCGUAAAGCGUGCGCAGGCGGUUUGCUAAGACCGAUGUGAAAUCCCCGGGCUCAACCUGGGAACUGCAUUGGUGACUGGCAGGCUAGAGUAUGGCAGAGGGGGGUAGAAUUCCACGUGUAGCAGUGAAAUGCGUAGAGAUGUGGAGGAAUACCGAUGGCGAAGGCAGCCCCCUGGGCCAAUACUGACGCUCAUGCACGAAAGCGUGGGGAGCAAACAGGAUUAGAUACCCUGGUAGUCCACGCCCUAAACGAUGUCAACUAGUUGUUGGGGAUUCAUUUCCUUAGUAACGUAGCUAACGCGUGAAGUUGACCGCCUGGGGAGUACGGUCGCAAGAUUAAAACUCAAAGGAAUUGACGGGGACCCGCACAAGCGGUGGAUGAUGUGGAUUAAUUCGAUGCAACGCGAAAAACCUUACCUACCCUUGACAUGGUCGGAAUCCUGCUGA
This 630-nucleotide ribosomal RNA is filed under the name Burkholderia sp. IBa252. Its description in RNAcentral is "bacterial SSU rRNA". It matches the Rfam family "Bacterial small subunit ribosomal RNA", at positions 381 to 1004 of the family's 1533-position model. The record is from RNAcentral. Lineage: Bacteria; Pseudomonadati; Pseudomonadota; Betaproteobacteria; Burkholderiales; Burkholderiaceae.